GUGCUCACUUCGGAAGCACGUCUACUAAAACUGGAAUGACACGGAGAAGAUCAGUGUGGCCCCUGCACAAAGAUGACUCGCAAAUUCGUGAAGCGUUCAUAUUAUAU
Alexandromys fortis (reed vole) is the source of this 107-nucleotide small nuclear RNA. The record is from RefSeq and is a predicted model, not a curated record. Lineage: Eukaryota; Metazoa; Chordata; Mammalia; Rodentia; Cricetidae.